Molecule: ribosomal RNA, 261 nt
Filed under: uncultured bacterium
Lineage: Bacteria
Description: partial 16S ribosomal RNA
Rfam family: Bacterial small subunit ribosomal RNA
Source: RNAcentral
CGAACGGGUGAGUAACACGUGGGCAACCUGCCCAAAAGAGGGGGAUAACACUUGGAAACAGGUGCUAAUACCGCAUAACCAUAGUUACCGCAUGGUAACUAUGUAAAAGGUGGCUAUACUACCGCUUUUGGAUGGGCCCGCGGCGCAUUAGCUAGUUGGUAGGGUAAAGGCUUACCAAGGCAAUGAUGCGUAGCCGAAUUGAGAGGUUGAUCGGCCACAUUGGGACUGAGACACGGCCCAAACUCCUACGGGAGGCAGCAG